GAAACAAAAAAGAAAUAACGCCAAACAAACCUUUGACGCGAAAUCCAAAAAAAAAAGAAGAAAAAAAAAUAGACCAGGAAAUAGAUAAACGAACAUGAAAUAUGUAUAUUUCUUUUUUGAUUUAUUCAUUCGUCAUCGAGGUUUAUGAUUCGUCGUAGUCAAAAAUUGUCGUCCCGCGUAUUUUAGAUAUCGCAAAUUUGGGACGAGUCGGACGUUAAAUGAAUAAUUUCCUAUCGUGGCACAAUGAAGGCAUCUCUGUUUCAGAAUGACGCUAAAAACGACACUGGCAGUCUCGUAAAAGAAAAAAAAUAGAAUACUAACGCAUUCUACGAACUCUACGAAUGUGGUGGAUAUCUAACUAUGCUGGAAUUUGUUCUCUACUGCGAUAAAUGGGGGUCCAAGAGGGAGGAGGAGGAGGAAGAGGAGGAGAGUCAGAAAGGGGGUGAAAGUUCGAAAUCCGGAAAACGUCGACUGUACGACGGCAUUACGCGUCGUACUCGUUAAGCCGAAGCGAAGGCUCGUGUCAGAACGUUUCCUAAUUAACAUGGAAAGCUUUAGUCGAAUGGACGGACGCUUGAAUUAUCUUCCUUAUCGAUCACCUACGAUACCAUAUACAUAAUUAACGCUUCUCGAAAUCGUUAACACAUCAGUCGAAUUAGUAAGGACCCCGCCUCCCCCCCAGUUUGCAAAAUCGAUUAUCAUCACGUAACGGUAAUAAGAGGCGAACUAGAGAAAAUACGAUGAGUUCUCUGAAGCUAACGUCAUCAUCGUCUCACGGCACCUUCGUAGUCAGCCGCGAAGCUGCAUUUGCUACUCAAUGCAUCUAUGUAUGUGUAUAUAUAUACAUACAUAUACAAAUAAACAUACUAUCUA
This is a long non-coding RNA of Polistes canadensis, 873 nucleotides long. RefSeq lists it as uncharacterized. The transcript is spliced from 3 exons. The record is from RefSeq and is a predicted model, not a curated record. Lineage: Eukaryota; Metazoa; Arthropoda; Insecta; Hymenoptera; Vespidae.